AUGAACGCUGGCGGCGUGCCUAAUACAUGCCCGUCGAGCGCACGGACGAGAAGCUUGCUUCUCUGAUGUUAGCGGCGGACGGGUGAGUAACACGUGGAUAACCUACCUAUAAGACUGGGAUAACUUCGGGAAACCGGAGCUAAUACCGGAUAAUAUUUUGAACCGCCUGGUUCAAAAGUGAAAGACGGUCUUGCUGUCACUUAUAGAUGGAUCCGCGCUGCAUUAGCUAGUUGGUAAGGUAACGGCUUACCAAGGCAACGAUGCAUAGCCGACCUGAGAGGGUGAUCGGCCACACUGGAACUGAGACACGGUCCAGACUCCUACGGGAGGCAGCAGUAGGGAAUCUUCCGCAAUGGGCGAAAGCCUGACGGAGCAACGCCGCGUGAGUGAUGAAGGUCUUCGGAUCGUAAAACUCUGUUAUUAGGGAAGAACAUAUGUGUAAGUAACUGUGCACAUCUUGACGGUACCUAAUCAGAAAGCCACGGCUAACUACGUG
This 496-nucleotide ribosomal RNA is filed under the name uncultured bacterium. RNAcentral's name for it is "partial 16S ribosomal RNA". It matches the Rfam family "Bacterial small subunit ribosomal RNA", at positions 29 to 507 of the family's 1533-position model. The record is from RNAcentral.